RNAcentral lists this microRNA precursor (73 nucleotides) under Myotis brandtii (Brandt's bat). RNAcentral's name for it is "mir-9193 microRNA precursor family". It matches the Rfam family "mir-9193 microRNA precursor family". Lineage: Eukaryota; Metazoa; Chordata; Mammalia; Chiroptera; Vespertilionidae. The record is from Rfam by way of RNAcentral.
UCUGGGUAGAGGGGUCCCUCGGCCCAGAUUGCGAGAGAGCUCAGGCCAGGCCGAGGGAUCCCACCGUCGCACG